UGAGAAGCAAGCUGGGGCCACCUCACCUGAUGACAUGGUUGAUGACAAUUGGGUCAGGGGGCAAUAGCAGGGCUGUGAGGCGCUGGGGAAUCUCAGAAAACUUCAGCCGGGGACAAUCAAAAAUCUGAAGCAGGACAAUUGGGGAGAGAGAGAUCACUCUUCUUGAAGAGAUCAUCAUGCAGUUGUAGAUCCUUUUGUUCUAGAAAGGCCACAAGAAGCUGAGAGGAAGUCUGAUUCCUCAGUGCGCAUGGGGAUGGGAUUGGGGUGGGCUGGUCUGGUGGUGGAGCCACCGGUAUGGCUGACAAGAUAGGGGGUGGGUCAGUGUGGGGCAGGGGUUGAGAGUGCGGGCCCUGGGUCAGCCUGCUUAUGUAUCAGUCCUGCCUCUGCCACUUACUAUGCAACCUGGAGCAAGUUAACACCUCAGGGCUCAGUGUCUUCAUCUCUAGAGUGGGGAUGAAAAGAAUACCUAUCUCCCAGGGCUGCCGUGAGAAGUCAGUGAACUAAUACACAUAAAGUGCUUGGGACAGUGCCUGGCACAUGGUAAGUGCCCAAUAAAUAUCAACUGCUAUUUUUA
This 574-nucleotide long non-coding RNA is filed under the name Homo sapiens (human). RNAcentral's name for it is "novel transcript, antisense to SMARCD3". Lineage: Eukaryota; Metazoa; Chordata; Mammalia; Primates; Hominidae. The record is from RNAcentral.